GGUUAAGCGACUAAGCGUACACGGUGGAUGCCCUGGCAGUCAGAGGCGAUGAAGGACGUGCUAAUCUGCGAUAAGCGCCGGUAAGGUGAUAUGAACCGUUAUAACCGGCGAUUUCCGAAUGGGGAAACCCAGUGUGAUUCGUCACACUAUCAUUAACUGAAUCCAUAGGUUAAUGAGGCGAACCGGGGGAACUGAAACAUCUAAGUACCCCGAGGAAAAGAAAUCAACCGAGAUUCCCCCAGUAGCGGCGAGCGAACGGGGAGGAGCCCAGAGCCUGAAUCAGCAUGUGUGUUAGUGGAAGCGUCUGGAAAGGCGCGCGAUACAGGGUGACAGCCCCGUACACAAAAGCGCAUGUGUUGUGAGCUCGAUGAGUAGGGCGGGACACGUGGUAUCCUGUCUGAAUAUGGGGGGACCAUCCUCCAAGGCUAAAUACUCCUGACUGACCGAUAGUGAACCAGUACCGUGAGGGAAAGGCGAAAAGAACCCCGGCGAGGGGAGUGAAAAAGAACCUGAAACCGUGUACGUACAAGCAGUGGGAGCCCCACCACUAAGCCAGUGGUGAACUCCACAUACGCAUCCUUUGCUGAGGAUACGGUUAACGGAGCGAAAGCGACGUUGAACCGCAAAAGAAGCAGAGGGGGCUUAGUGGUGGGGUGACUGCGUACCUUUUGUAUAAUGGGUCAGCGACUUAUAUUCUGUAGCAAGGUUAACCGUAUAGGGGAGCCGCAGGGAAACCGAGUCUUAACCGGGCGUUAAGUUGCAGGGUAUAGACCCGAAACCCGGUGAUCUAGCCAUGGGCAGGUUGAAGGUUGGGUAACACUAACUGGAGGACCGAACCGACUAAUGUUGAAAAAUUAG
This 858-nucleotide ribosomal RNA is filed under the name Salmonella enterica. RNAcentral describes it as "partial 23S ribosomal RNA". It matches the Rfam family "Bacterial large subunit ribosomal RNA", at positions 1 to 800 of the family's 2925-position model. Lineage: Bacteria; Pseudomonadati; Pseudomonadota; Gammaproteobacteria; Enterobacterales; Enterobacteriaceae. The record is from RNAcentral.